This 74-nucleotide transfer RNA is filed under the name Cladosporium sphaerospermum UM 843. RNAcentral describes it as "tRNA-Ile (TAT) (tRNA-Ile-TAT-1-1)". It matches the Rfam family "tRNA". From Rfam's summary of the family: Transfer RNA (tRNA) molecules are approximately 80 nucleotides in length. Their secondary structure includes four short double-helical elements and three loops (D, anti-codon, and T loops). Further hydrogen bonds mediate the characteristic L-shaped molecular structure. tRNAs have two regions of fundamental functional importance: the anti-codon, which is responsible for specific mRNA codon recognition, and the 3' end, to which the tRNAs corresponding amino acid is attached (by aminoacyl-tRNA synthetases). tRNAs cope with the degeneracy of the genetic code in two manners: having more than one tRNA (with a specific anti-codon) for a particular amino acid; and 'wobble' base-pairing, i.e. permitting non-standard base-pairing at the 3rd anti-codon position. The record is from RNAcentral. Lineage: Eukaryota; Fungi; Ascomycota; Dothideomycetes; Cladosporiales; Cladosporiaceae.
ACACCCGUGACGCAGUGGCUUAGCGUGUCGUUCUUAUAAUGCGAAAGUCGAGGGUUCGAAUCCCUCCGGGUAUG